CGAGGGGGGCGAGCGUUGUUCGGAAUUAUUGGGCGUAAAGGGUGCGUAGGCGGUUUGGUAAGUCUGAUGUGAAAUCUAUGGGCUCAACUCAUAGUCUGCAUCGGAAACUGCCGGGCUUGAGUGUGGGAGAGGUGAGUGGAAUUCCUGGUGUAGCGGUGAAAUGCGUAGAUAUCAGGAGGAACACCUGUGGCGAAAGCGGCUCACUGGACCAUAACUGACGCUGAUGCACGAAAGCUAGGGGAGCAAACAGGAUUAGAUACCCUGGUAGUCCUAGCCCUAAACGAUGACUGCUUGGUGUGACGGGUACCCAAUCCCGCCGUGCCGUAGCUAACGCGUUAAGCAGUCCGCCUGGGGAGUACGGUCGCAAGGCUA
This 372-nucleotide ribosomal RNA is filed under the name uncultured organism. Its description in RNAcentral is "bacterial SSU rRNA". It matches the Rfam family "Bacterial small subunit ribosomal RNA", at positions 526 to 896 of the family's 1533-position model. The record is from RNAcentral.